RNAcentral lists this ribosomal RNA (543 nucleotides) under uncultured Gallionellaceae bacterium. RNAcentral's name for it is "bacterial SSU rRNA". It matches the Rfam family "Bacterial small subunit ribosomal RNA", at positions 135 to 671 of the family's 1533-position model. The record is from RNAcentral. Lineage: Bacteria; Pseudomonadati; Pseudomonadota; Betaproteobacteria; Nitrosomonadales; Gallionellaceae.
AGUGGGGGAUAACACAUCGAAAGAUGUGCUAAUACCGCAUAUGCCCUGAGGGGGAAAGGGGGGGAUCCGCAAGGACCUCUUGCUUUCGGAGUGGCCGAUAUCGGAUUAGCUAGUUGGUGAGGUAAAGGCUCACCAAGGCGACGAUCCGUAGCUGGUCUGAGAGGACGACCAGUCACACUGGAACUGAGACACGGUCCAGACUCCUACGGGAGGCAGCAGUGGGGAAUUUUGGACAAUGGGCGCAAGCCUGAUCCAGCCAUACCGCGUGAGUGAAGAAGGCCUUCGGGUUGUAAAGCUCUUUCAGCCGGAAAGAAAUCACACUUAUUAACACUGAGUGUGGAUGACGGUACCGGAAGAAGAAGCACCGGCUAACUACGUGCCAGCAGCCGCGGUAAUACGUAGGGUGCGAGCGUUAAUCGGAAUUACUGGGCGUAAAGCGUGCGCAGGCGGCUUUUUAAGCCAGAUGUGAAAUCCCCGGGCUUAACCUGGGAACUGCAUUUGGAACUGGAAGGCUAGAGUGUAGAAGAGGGGGGUAGAAUUCCA